UACGUAGGGGGGCUAGCGUUGUCCGGAUUUAUUGGGCGUAAAGAGCGCGUAGGCGGCCGAGUAAGUCCGACGUGAAAUCUGGAGGCUCAACCUCCAGCGGUCGUUGGAAACUACUCGGCUAGAGUCCGGAAGAGGAGAGUGGAAUUCCUGGUGUAGCGGUGAAAUGCGCAGAUAUCAGGAAGAACACCGAUGGCGAAAGCAGCUCUCUGGGACGGUACUGACGCUGAGGCGCGAAAGCGUGGGGAGCGAACAGG
Molecule: ribosomal RNA, 254 nt
Filed under: uncultured bacterium
Lineage: Bacteria
Description: partial 16S ribosomal RNA
Rfam family: Bacterial small subunit ribosomal RNA
Source: RNAcentral